This 252-nucleotide ribosomal RNA is filed under the name uncultured Bacteroidales bacterium. Its description in RNAcentral is "partial 16S ribosomal RNA". It matches the Rfam family "Bacterial small subunit ribosomal RNA", at positions 524 to 776 of the family's 1533-position model. Lineage: Bacteria; Pseudomonadati; Bacteroidota; Bacteroidia; Bacteroidales. The record is from RNAcentral.
UACGUAGGGGGCAAGCGUUAUCCGGAUUUACUGGGUGUAAAGGGAGCGUAGACGGCGGUGCAAGCCAGAUGUGAAAGCCCGGGGCUCAACCCCGGCCCGCCGUUGAAACUGGCAGUCUCGAGUUGGAGAGAAGUAUGCGGAAUGCGUGGUGUAGCGGUGAAAUGCAUAGAUAUCACGCAGAACUCCGAUUGCGAAGGCAGCAUACCGGCGCCCGACUGACGCUGAAGCACGAAAGCGUGGGUAUCGAACAGG